This 102-nucleotide non-coding RNA is filed under the name Ureibacillus massiliensis. RNAcentral describes it as "Lysinibacillus massiliensis Guanine sequence". It matches the Rfam family "Purine riboswitch aptamer". Rfam says of the family: Riboswitches are metabolite binding domains within certain messenger RNAs that serve as precision sensors for their corresponding targets. Allosteric rearrangement of mRNA structure is mediated by ligand binding, and this results in modulation of gene expression. A class of riboswitches that selectively recognises guanine and becomes saturated at concentrations as low as 5 nM. RNAcentral also lists the same sequence under 1 other name. Lineage: Bacteria; Bacillati; Bacillota; Bacilli; Caryophanales; Caryophanaceae. The record is from RNAcentral.
UAGGUAAAUUAAAUAAUUCGUCGUAUAAUGUCGAGAAUAUGGCUCGAAAGUUUCUACCAAACUACCUUAAAUAGUUUGACUACGAUUAACCCACUAUAGAUA